This 83-nucleotide transfer RNA is filed under the name Candidatus Dadabacteria bacterium. Its description in RNAcentral is "tRNA-Leu". It matches the Rfam family "tRNA". Rfam says of the family: Transfer RNA (tRNA) molecules are approximately 80 nucleotides in length. Their secondary structure includes four short double-helical elements and three loops (D, anti-codon, and T loops). Lineage: Bacteria; Pseudomonadati; Thermodesulfobacteriota; Candidatus Dadabacteria. The record is from RNAcentral. RNAcentral also lists the same sequence under 1 other name.
GGGCGGGUGGCGGAAUGGUAGACGCGUUGGUCUCAAAAACCAAUGGGCACAUGCCCGUGAGGGUUCGACUCCCUCUCCGCCCA